RNAcentral lists this non-coding RNA (29 nucleotides) under Homo sapiens (human). The record is from RNAcentral. Lineage: Eukaryota; Metazoa; Chordata; Mammalia; Primates; Hominidae.
UGACCCUUGCAAGCCCAAGCUACCUACCU